Molecule: long non-coding RNA, 2750 nt
Organism: Anguilla anguilla (European eel)
Lineage: Eukaryota; Metazoa; Chordata; Actinopteri; Anguilliformes; Anguillidae
Exons: 4
Source: RefSeq, a predicted model, not a curated record
CCUUGCCACCAUAAUAAAAAAAUAAAAAAAUAAAAUAAAAAAUAUAUAUAUAUUUUUUAAAUUUUAUUUUAUUAUUUUUUUACAGUACAUAGCCUAUAUAUUAAAUUCUUAAAUUCAAAACGUUAAACUUCCCAAAUAUUUCUGCCUAAAUGCGCUUUCAAAACCAUACUGUCGCGUCCACAUAUUUAUUUUCAAAAAGAGCCUAGGCCCCGCGCUCUGUGCUUGCUCCUUUCUCGCUCCUUUCUGAGGUUGUCGGAAGAUUUGCAGUGCGCAAAGGUCGCACUGUCUGUCAAAGCGUCACUUUUUUUUCUUCAGCGACCGAAAGACAAGGAAAAGACCCCUGCCUAGCCCAAACACCCAAGAAGUUCCCGAGCCAAUGCAGCUGGGAGGCACUCGACUCUCACCUACAGAACAAGAGAGAAGAAUGAGGGACUGCUCCACCGGCGUCCACCCACCUUUGUUUAAGAAAGAUGGAUAAAGGAGGAAGAAAGGGAGGACAAAGGAGGAGGAUGAGCGAUUAUUUUUGUGGUUACCAAAGACAGAAGACGGAGGGGAAGAUUGUUGGUCAGCCAAUAACCCAGCUGUCAAACGCCAAAAAAAAAGUAUUGGUUGAAUGUUGAAUGCAGUAUUGGUUAUGUGUUUUAUAUAAAAAUCUGUAAUUAAAUUAAUAUUUUAUUCUGAUUGUUGUGAUUGCUUGAAUAUCCUUCAUGACACAAUCGCUAGACAUUAGACUUGGUUGUGUUAUGUAUGCAUGCCUUCUAAAUCUGCCUGCCAGUAUGCCACUGCAGAAGAUUUAAGUUAUUUAAGUUUAGAAAUGUCUAAGUGUUCUUACUAUAUUAUUCUUACAUUACCAGCAGAACAAAUGUGAUUCAAUUCUAAAUAAAUAUCAGGCCAUAAUAUCUGAAUUUAACUAUAAUAUCAGUUGGGGUAACCGUCACGGUCAUGUGGGGUAACCAAAGUUUUUAGUUUUAUAUUCAUUAAUUCACAAUGCUAUUGCAAUGCUAUAUCAAAACAUUAAAUACUGAGCUUGUUUACAAGGGAUACAAAUAGCUUUUGCAAGUUUUGUGACAAGUUUGUCUCUCCCUACAGGAAAUAAUUGUUGACGAUCAUACAAAAUAGCAUUUACUUAGUGAAUGGCUAAAAAUGUACCAUGCUUAAAAAAAUUAUAUUAAACAAAAUUUAAGUUACAUGUAUUUAAGCCUCUCCAAACUCAGAUAGUUUGCUUAUUCCAGUAGUUGUAAAUGCAUAGAAAAUGUAUUAAUUUAAAUAUAGGCAUGGUUUUUUAGGGGAGUAAAAACAUCCAUCUAGCAUAAAAAUGCAUUUCAGAUAUUUUGUAUAUAAUGAAACAACUGUGAUUACAUAAAGAAAAUUCAUGUGGACUUAAAAAUAGGUUUUAAAUUCAUUUUAGUGUACGUUUAUUUUUUUAAAUUCUGAAAACCAUUUGUCAUUGACCCACCUGCCAGUUAACUGGAAAACCCAACCAGAAACUAAAACCUGUACCUGUUUCCUAUUCCUGCAAUUAGCCAGCCAUUUGAAUACCUGAUCAUUGAUAGUGUUGGCCCGCUGCCUCGCUCAAAGACUGGCUGUAUGUACUUGUUUACUGUGAUGUGUCAGACUUCCCGGUUUCCAGUUGCCUUUCCUCUCCGGUCCAUUACAACCAAGUCUGUGUUAAAGGCUUUGACUCAGUUCAUUUCCUGGUUUGGCAUUCCCAAGGUCAUUCAAAGCGAUCAGGGAUUUAAUUUUACUUCACACCUGUUCGCCCAGGUCCUCCAGCAGCUCCAUAUUAAACACAACUGCACUGAACUGGACAGGGACUGGAGAAAGAGAAAAAAAGAAGCGCUCGCACUGCUUCAGCACUUUGAGGUGUAUGUGGGGUGUGGUGUUGUUCCUCUCGUUGUCUACUCCGACCACAACCCCCUGACUUUUCUGAAGUCUAUGCAUUGUUCCAACCAACGGAUAAUGUGUUGGUGUUUGUUUCUGCAGGCCUCUCACCUUCAUGUUCGCCACAUUAAGGGAAGUGAAAAUGUGGUGGCUGACGCGCUGUCUUGUGCGCUCCCUUAAGCGCACGCUAUCCACGUUUUGCACCUUUUCCUUGACUUGUGUCUGUCCGAUCUGUCUGUCCCGCCUUCGCGCUCUUCCGUCCUCUUCUCUCCUUUCCUCUUAAAUCGCUUCCUAGGCGCCUUGGUUGCUGAGGUUGGGGUGAGUUGGAGGACGGCUGAGGUUGCGUGGACCGGUGGAAGACUGGCGGCUUGGCACUGGAGUUGAGUAUUCGCGUUUAUUUGAUGUUGUUCAUGGUUUUUAUACUUGGGGGCUAUCUGUGUUUGUAUGCGUCCUUUUGUGGUUGUGUAGGGGAUGGUUUAGGGUCCCUUAUGGGCCCCUUUUUAUGGGGGGGGGGGGGGGGGGGGGGGUUCGACGGGCUGCUCGGGCUCCUUCCUGUUCUGUGUCUGUUUCCUUCUGCAGGACAGUUGUGGGCGGGCGGAACAGCUUGUCAGGUUAACUGCCUACACCUGGCCGGUUGGCUAUAAGAACAUGCGCUCCUCAUUCCCCUAGAGACAUCUCUCCAUGCGGACACUUCUGUUUAGUCUGGUUAACCUUUUGUGGCAUUUUGUUUUCGCACCUUACAACAUCCCUCAUUCAUACUAUACAUGCAUCCCCUCACUCACCCCACUGAUGACUGAUGUACACACUUCAUCAUUACUUUUUGUAAGUAUUAUUUACCUUAGUUAAUAAAUAUCUUUUGUUAUACUUGA